CCUACGGGAGGCAGCAGUGGGGAAUCUUAGACAAUGGGCGCAAGCCUGAUCUAGCCAUGCCGCGUGAGUGAUGAAGGCCUUAGGGUCGUAAAGCUCUUUCGCCAGGGAUGAUAAUGACAGUACCUGGUAAAGAAACCCCGGCUAACUCCGUGCCAGCAGCCGCGGUAAU
RNAcentral lists this ribosomal RNA (169 nucleotides) under uncultured bacterium. RNAcentral describes it as "partial 16S ribosomal RNA". It matches the Rfam family "Bacterial small subunit ribosomal RNA", at positions 338 to 524 of the family's 1533-position model. The record is from RNAcentral.